UUGAAUGACCGGUCCCCUCAGAAG
Molecule: non-coding RNA, 24 nt
Filed under: Cricetulus griseus (Chinese hamster)
Lineage: Eukaryota; Metazoa; Chordata; Mammalia; Rodentia; Cricetidae
Source: RNAcentral